CAGGCCUAACACAUGCAAGUCGAGGGAGAAGCUGACUUCGGUCAGUGGGCACCGGCGCACGGGUGAGUAACGCGUGGGAACCUACCCAGGGGUGGGGGAUAACCGCUGGAAACGGCGGCUAAUACCGCAUACGCCUUUUUGAGGGAAAGAUUUAUCGCCCUUGGAUGGGCCCGCGUUGGAUUAGGUAGUUGGUGGGGUAAAGGCCUACCAAGCCUACGAUCUAUAGCUGGUCUGAGAGGAUGAUCAGCCACACUGGGACUGAGACACGGCCCAGACUCCUACGGGAGGCAGCAGUGGGGAAUCUUGGACAAUGGGGGCAACCCUGAUCCAGCCAUGCCGCGUGAGUGAAGAAGGCCUUAGGGUUGUAAAGCUCUUUCAACGGUGAAGAUGAUGACUGUAGCCGUAGAAGAAGCCCCGGCUAACUCCGUGCCAGCAGCCGCGGUAAUACGGAGGGGGCAAGCGUUGUUCGGAAUUACUGGGCGUAAAGGGCGUGUAGGCGGCCAAGCAAGUCAGAGGUGAAAGCCCUGGGCUCAACCUGGGAACUGCCUUUGAAACUGUUUGGCUUGAGACCGGAAGAGGAUGGCGGAAUUCCCAGUGUAGAGGUGAAAUUCGUAGAUAUUGGGAAGAACACCGGUGGCGAA
This 641-nucleotide ribosomal RNA is filed under the name uncultured Alphaproteobacteria bacterium. RNAcentral's name for it is "bacterial SSU rRNA". It matches the Rfam family "Bacterial small subunit ribosomal RNA", at positions 43 to 719 of the family's 1533-position model. The record is from RNAcentral. Lineage: Bacteria; Pseudomonadati; Pseudomonadota; Alphaproteobacteria.